This 492-nucleotide ribosomal RNA is filed under the name uncultured bacterium. Its description in RNAcentral is "partial 16S ribosomal RNA". It matches the Rfam family "Bacterial small subunit ribosomal RNA", at positions 29 to 507 of the family's 1533-position model. The record is from RNAcentral.
AGUGAACGCUGGCGGUAGGCCUAACACAUGCAAGUCGAACGGCAGCACAGUAAGAGCUUGCUCUUACGGGUGGCGAGUGGCGGACGGGUGAGGAAUACAUCGGAAUCUACUUUUUCGUGGGGGAUAACGUAGGGAAACUUACGCUAAUACCGCAUACGACCUACGGGUGAAAGCAGGGGAUCUUCGGACCUUGCGCGAUUGAAUGAGCCGAUGUCGGAUUAGCUAGUUGGCGGGGUAAAGGCCCACCAAGGCGACGAUCCGUAGCUGGUCUGAGAGGAUGAUCAGCCACACUGGAACUGGGCCACGGUCCAGACUCCUACGGGAGGCAGCAGUGGGGAAUAUUGGACAAUGGGCGCAAGCCUGAUCCAGCCAUACCGCGUGGGUGAAGAAGGCCUUCGGGUUGUAAAGCCCUUUUGUUGGGAAAGAAAAGCGGCAGGUUAAUACCCCGCUGUUCUGACGGUACCCAAAGAAUAAGCACCGGCUAACUUCGUG